This 253-nucleotide ribosomal RNA is filed under the name uncultured bacterium. RNAcentral's name for it is "partial 16S ribosomal RNA". It matches the Rfam family "Bacterial small subunit ribosomal RNA", at positions 524 to 776 of the family's 1533-position model. The record is from RNAcentral.
UACAGAGGUGGCAAGCGUUGUUCGGAAUUACUGGGCGUAAAGGGCGCGUAGGCGGCCUACUAAGUCAGACGUGAAAUCCCCCGGCUUAACCUGGGAACUGCGUCUGAUACUGGAAGGCUUGAGGAUGGGAGAGGGAUGUAGAAUUCCAGGUGUAGCGGUGAAAUGCGUAGAUAUCUGGAGGAAUACCGGUGGCGAAGGCGGCAUCCUGGACCAUUACUGACGCUGAGGCGCGAAAGCUAGGGGAGCAAGCGGG